Molecule: ribosomal RNA, 2454 nt
Filed under: Triticum aestivum (bread wheat)
Lineage: Eukaryota; Viridiplantae; Streptophyta; Magnoliopsida; Poales; Poaceae
Description: partial small subunit ribosomal RNA
Source: RNAcentral
AUGGAUUGCUCGAUGACGAGCAGCGUGCUGUCGGCCAACUACAACACGGUGCUGUUCGAGUUCGGCGUCAUCCUCGUCACCAGCAAGAUCUUGUACGCCCUCCUCCGCAACGUCUACCAGCCCCGCGUCUUCUCCGACCUCCUCCUGGGCAUCAUCCUCGCGCAGUUCCGCGUCCUCUCCAUCACCAACGCCAUCAACCUGGUGUUCGGCAAGAUCGGCGGCUUCAUCUUCGCGCCCUACCUCUUCGCGCUCGGCGUCGAGAUGGAUCCCUUCUCGCUCCUCGACAGCCCCGCCGCCGACGCCGUCAUCGCCUACGCCGGCAUCGCCUCCACCUGCGUCCUCGUGACGCUCUGCCACGGCGCCAUCACCUCCACCUCUCGUACCCACACGGGCAUCGUCCACGAGCGCUCCCUCCGCGCCUUCCUCGGCCUCGCCGCCGCGCUCGCCAACACGGCCUCCCCUGUCCUCACCCGCCUCGCCACCGACCUCAAGAUCGCCAAGACCAACGUCGGCCGCCUCGCCGUCGGCGCCGGCAUCACCUCCGACAUGGUCACCACCCUGCUCAUCGCGCUCGGCAGCAUGGUCUGGCGUGACAGUGACGCCGACGCCGCCGCGCCCUUCGCCCAGCCCGCGCUCACGGCGUCCGUCCUCGCGGUCGUCGUCAUGUCCGCCUUCAUGUCCCGGGCCAUGGCCGACUGGGUGGACGGCCGCAACCCCGAGGGCCGGCGCAUGCGCGGCUUCGACCUUUCCCUCGUAGCGCUCGUGGCCGCCACGCUCUGCUGGUUCAUCUCCGUGCUCCGCCUCGACAUCAACAUGGCCGCCUUCCUCGUCGGCCUCGCCUUCCCCAGCGACGGCCGGGUGUCGCGGUUGCUCGUCAGCAAGAUCAACUUCGUGCUCUCCUCCUUCGUGCUGCCGCUCUACGUCGCCCACGUCUGCCUCUCGCUCCGGCAGACCACCGACGACAUCGAGGUCGCGGGCCUCAAGCCCGACGAGGGCCUCCGCGCCUACGUCAUGCAGCUGCCCUUCCCAUGGUGGAAGGUCUUCUUGGCCACCUCCAUGGGCACGCUCGGCAAGCUCGUCGGCUGCACCGGCGUCGGCCUGCUCCGGGGCCUCGGCUGGCUCGAGGCGCUCGCGCUCGGCAUGCUGCUCAACGUCAAGGGCUACUUCCACAUCUACUGUGCGCUAGCCGCCUUCGAGGCCGGCAUCAUCACCGACAAGUCCUUCAUGGCCAUCAUCUUCGUGGUGGCGCUCAACGUUGCCGUCACGCCCAUGGUGGGGAUGGGGAUCGCCUCCUGGGCACGCCGGAGCGUGCAGUGGCGCCUCAUGGGCCUCCAACACCACGACCCCUCGACGGAGCUGCGCCUCGUCGCCGGCCUCCGCGGCCCGCAGGAAGUGCCGACGCUCGCGUUCCUCAUGGAGUCGCUCCGGUGGGGCGCCGGCAACGGCGAGAUCGCGUGCUACGCCGUUGACAUGGUGCAGCUGACGGACCAGACGGCUUCUUCAAUCGUGAAAAGCGGCGGGUUGGACGGCGUGACGGUGGUGGACGAGGAGGUGUCGGAGAUGCGGAAGCUCAUCGGCGAGGCGCUAGACGCGUACCAGGCGGAGUGCGGUGGCGAGGGCGGCAAGGUGAAGGUGCGCCGGCUGCUGGCGCUGUCGUCGUUCCCGGACAUGCACAGUGACAUGUGCAUCUGCGCCGAGGACGCCAUGGCGGCGUUGAUCCUAGUGCCGUUCCACAAGACACAGUGCCUGGACGGCACCAUGGACGGCGGCCACUUCGGGUUCCGGCUCGUGAACCAAAAGGUGCUACAACUGGCGCCAUGCUCGGUGGGGAUCAUCGUGGACCGCGGCCUCGGCAAGCAGCAUCGUCCAGACAGCACGGCGCAGGCGUCUGUGGCGGUGCUCUUCAUCGGCGGCGCGGACGACCGGGAGGCGCUCACGCUGGCGUCCUUCAUGUGCAAGCAGCGGGCCUCGGUGCGGCUCACGGCGCUACGGGUGGUGCAGAACGCGACGGCGCAGGCGCGGGCCAAGGCGCGCACGAGCCUCUUCGAGUCCAAGAGCAAGCGGCACAUGCCUCUGGCGGCGACGACGACCGGGCAGGAGGAGCUGCAGGCGCGGGCGGACGACAAGUUCUUCGCCGAGUUCUACCGGAAGCACGUCGCCGGCAACAAGUCCGUCGGGUACAUGGAGAAGCACGUGGCGGACGGGGCGGAGCUCGUGGCGGUGCUGCGGGGGAUGCAGGGGGACUACCGGUUGUUCGUGGUGGGCCGAGGGAGGGACCGCAACUCGGUGCUCACCGAGGGGCUGGAGGAGUGGGCCGAGUGCCUGGAGCUCGGCCCCGUCGGCGACAUCCUCGCCUCCUCGGACUUCUCAACGACGGCGUCCGUGCUCAUCGUGCAGCAGUACGACGCCAAGAAGCACUACAAGGUAAUCGAUGAGGAGUUCAUGCCCUUGUAA